CAGUAGCCACGGUAAUACGAAGGUCCCGAGCGUUGUUCGGAAUCACUGGGCGUAAAGGGAGCGUAGGCGGCGUGGUAAGUCAGAUGUGAAAUCCCGGGGCUCAACCCCGGAACUGCAUCCGAUACUGCCGUGCUAGAGGAUUGGAGAGGUAGCUGGAAUUCUUGGUGCAGCAGUGAAAUGCGUGGAGAUCAAGAGGAACACUCGUGGCGAAAGCGAGCUACUGGACAAUAUCUGACGCUGAGGCUCGAAGGCCAGGGUAGCGAAAGGGAUUAGAUACCCCCGUAGUCCCUGUCUCUUAUAC
RNAcentral lists this ribosomal RNA (301 nucleotides) under uncultured bacterium. RNAcentral describes it as "partial 16S ribosomal RNA". It matches the Rfam family "Bacterial small subunit ribosomal RNA", at positions 509 to 807 of the family's 1533-position model. The record is from RNAcentral.